This 468-nucleotide ribosomal RNA is filed under the name uncultured bacterium. RNAcentral describes it as "partial 16S ribosomal RNA". It matches the Rfam family "Bacterial small subunit ribosomal RNA", at positions 28 to 507 of the family's 1533-position model. The record is from RNAcentral.
GACGAACGCUGGCGGCGUGCUUAACACAUGCAAGUCGAACGGAAAGGCCCUGCUUUUGUGGGGUGCUCGAGUGGCGAACGGGUGAGUAACACGUGAGUAACCUGCCCUUGACUUUGGGAUAACUUCAGGAAACUGGGGCUAAUACCGGAUAGGAGCUCCUGCUGCAUGGUGGGGGUUGGAAAGUUUCGGCGGUUGGGGAUGGACUCGCGGCUUAUCAGCUUGUUGGUGGGGUAGUGGCUUACCAAGGCUUUGACGGGUAGCCGGCCUGAGAGGGUGACCGGCGACAUUGGGACUGAGAUACGGCCCAGACGCCUACGGGAGGCAGCAGUGGGGAAUAUUGCACAAUGGGCGGAAGCCUGAUGCAGAAACGCCGCGUGCGGGAUGACGGCCUUCGGGUUGUAAACCGCUUUCGCCUGUGACGAAGCGUGAGUGACGGUAAUGGGUAAAGAAGCACCGGCUAACUACGUG